GGCGAGGUGGGGGUGGGGGUCGCGCUGGCAACCAGCACGCACGCGCACCCGCGCUCGCGCUGGCCUCUACCGGCCGUAAGCUGGAGGUUCACAAGGCGCUUCAUCUGCCCGGACAUGGUGAAUAACGUACGUACGACGUACUCAAUAAAUAUAAUGCCCUCUCUUUUCCCCCCGCUCGGGUCUCGAGAUCAAGCCUACUAGCUAGUGGGCGGUACCACGCCCCCGCAAAGAAAGGUUCGGUUUUCUAUCCAUACUCGCAAN
Molecule: long non-coding RNA, 261 nt
Filed under: Spirodela polyrhiza (greater duckweed)
Lineage: Eukaryota; Viridiplantae; Streptophyta; Magnoliopsida; Alismatales; Araceae
Description: long non-coding RNA (SPOL_LNC001507)
Source: RNAcentral